CAUCUAAGCGGGAAGCCUCCCUCGAGAUGAGAUCUCCCUGACCCCUUGAGGGUCCUGAAGGGCCGUGGAAGACCACCACGUUGAUAGGCGGGAUGUGGACGCGCUGUGAGGCGUGAAGCUAACCCGUACUAAUUGCCCGUGCGGCUUGACCAUAUAAC
This 158-nucleotide ribosomal RNA is filed under the name Alloalcanivorax profundimaris. RNAcentral's name for it is "partial 23S ribosomal RNA". It matches the Rfam family "Bacterial large subunit ribosomal RNA", at positions 2778 to 2925 of the family's 2925-position model. The record is from RNAcentral. Lineage: Bacteria; Pseudomonadati; Pseudomonadota; Gammaproteobacteria; Oceanospirillales; Alcanivoracaceae.